AUCAUCGGCCUGCCUCACCCGCACUGUCCUUCCCGCAACGCCCUUACUCUCCCGUCCAGCUCGACAACGAAGCUCUCCUACCACUUCCCCUCUACGCGCGAUAACCGCCGCGCAGCUCCCCUAACCCUUCCUCUCCGCGAUUGCUGCCGUCGCCGCUGCCGGACGGCGCUAUCCGCCGCGCAGCUUCCCCACGCACCUCCCGUAUCCCACCCUUUCUGCGCGCUCUGCCGUCGCGGCCGCCGGACGCACGCCGGGCUGCCCCACGGUUCAGGUCAAUCCGCUCCUUCGUCGUGCUCAUCCACGCCCUCACGCCGCCGCACCGCCUCGAGGGCGCACCGGUGACCAAUCCGCGCCUGCACCGGAGCCUCGAACUCGUCGUCCGCGCGCUGCCGUCGGCGACAGCUGCCGUCCGCGCGAGUCUCGUCCUCGAGCGCCGCCCGUGACCGCUCCGCGACCGCUGUGAUCUCGGCCGGCUGCCGUCCGCACGAGCCCCGUCUCGACCGGCCGCCGUCCGUCCGCGCGCGCCGCUGUCCGUGCGAGCCCCAUCCUCAAGCGCCGAUCCGCUGCCGUCGUGGAUCUACAGACCAUCUCCUCCCACCCCCUGAUUCGCUGCCAUCGUGGUCUGGGAGGCCGAGCGGGCGGCAGUGGGUCUGCAGGCCAUCUCCUCCCACCCCCUGAUUCGCUGCCAUCAUGGUCUGGGAGGCCGAGCGGGCGGCAGCAGGAGCCCUGCAGGCGGCACGGACGGGCGACAGUAGAAGCCAGCAGGCCAAGCGCAUCCAGCACCCAGUCUGGCUCAUCGUCGCCAGCCACACCCUUUGGCCAGUUGAUUAGAGGUCCGCCGGCGCCGGGAGUUACUCUUCUGCUCAGGUUGCCAGAAAGAAAUUUACUCAAAUCAAGCAGAAAUUGGUUGUUCAACUCAUUGUUUUUGAUCCUCACUUCUCUCCCAGGUUGGUGACUAGCUCUUUGUCGUCUAUUAGAAAGAAAUCUCAGCAAGUUUCAUUUCUUGGACAUACUGGUCAAUAGAGUUGUAACUUUGUAUGUCAGGUGAAUUGCAACUUUGACCAUCACUGUUCUUUCUAAAAUUUCUGAUACUUAAAAUAGAAGUGAUUGACAGAUUAUAAAUUAAAUCCAGUGUGCAUCCCCACUGUAUAGACCAGGUUUUGACAAUAUCAGAUAUUAGAAGCCUUAAGUCUACUUUUCAUACUAUUUUUAUUGCAUAUUGUAAUUUUGAAAAAAAAUUAUUUGGUGCUUUUUAAUCAAGGUUCAGUUUGUUUUGUUUUA
Long non-coding RNA from Sorghum bicolor (sorghum), 1281 nucleotides. RefSeq lists it as uncharacterized. Lineage: Eukaryota; Viridiplantae; Streptophyta; Magnoliopsida; Poales; Poaceae. The record is from RefSeq and is a predicted model, not a curated record. The transcript is spliced from 2 exons.